This is a non-coding RNA of Nicotiana tabacum (common tobacco), 326 nucleotides long. The record is from RefSeq and is a predicted model, not a curated record. Lineage: Eukaryota; Viridiplantae; Streptophyta; Magnoliopsida; Solanales; Solanaceae.
ACAAGGAGGGCACCGUGACGGCACAUCUGUGGGAAAAUCUAAGCCUAACUCUGUGUGGAAUUUUGUGGAAAACUUCAAGCAUACAGAUUGAUGCCAUUAGAGACCGUUUGGUUGGUGUUCUAGACGUUGCAAGGCUGGAGAACUUCCCGCUAGCGAGAUACUAUUGGUGAAGAAGAAGCUAAUAGCUGACGAGUUCGCUAGAGUUGAUUCGGUUAUUGAGGUGAGCCGCCGCAUUGUUCGUGGAGGCUGCCAAAAGAGUCUUUAUCAUUUAUUCAUAUGAUGUCUUUUGUAAUUAUCUUAGAUGCUCCAUGGUCUAGUGUAGAAUU